RNAcentral lists this ribosomal RNA (491 nucleotides) under uncultured bacterium. RNAcentral's name for it is "partial 16S ribosomal RNA". It matches the Rfam family "Bacterial small subunit ribosomal RNA", at positions 29 to 506 of the family's 1533-position model. The record is from RNAcentral.
AGUGAACGCUGGCGGUAGGCCUAACACAUGCAAGUCGAACGGCAGCACAGUAAGAGCUUGCUCUUACGGGUGGCGAGUGGCGGACGGGUGAGGAAUACAUCGGAAUCUACUUUUUCGUGGGGGAUAACGUAGGGAAACUUACGCUAAUACCGCAUACGACCUACGGGUGAAAGCAGGGGAUCUUCGGACCUUGCGCGAUUGAAUGAGCCGAUGUCGGAUUAGCUAGUUGGCGGGGUAAAAGCCCACCAAGGCGACGAUCCGUAGCUGGUCUGAGAGGAUGAUCAGCCACACUGGAACUGAGACACGGUACAGACUCCUACGGGAGGCAGCAGUGGGGAAUAUUGGACAAUGGGCGCAAGCCUGAUCCAUCCAUACCGCGUGGAUGAAGAAGGCCUUCGGGUUGUAAAGCCCUUUUGUUGGGAAAGAAAAGCAGCGGGUUAAUACCCCGCUGUUCUGACGGUACCCAUAGAAUAAGCACCGGCUAACUGCGU